GAUUAACGCUGGUGGCGUGCCUAACACAUGCAAGUCGAGCGAUGAGACGUAAAUGAUGUCUUCGGGAUGAUAUCAAGUGAAGGAUUGGCGAACGGUUGAGUAACGCGUGAGUAAACUGCCUUGGCGUAGGGAAUAGCCUUCUGAUACGAGGAAUAAUACCCUAUGAUAUGAUAAUAUAGCAUGAUAUGGUCAUCAAAGAUUUAUCGCUCUAAGAUGGACUUGCGUCUGAUUAUUUAGUUGGUGAGGUAACAGCUCACCAAGGCAGCGAUCAGUCGCCGGCUCGAGAGCGUGUACGGCCACAUUGGGACUGGGACAAGGCCCAGACUCCUCGGGGAGGCAGAAGUGGGGAAGUUUGAACGAUGGGGGAAACCCUGAUGCCGCGAGGCCGCGUGAUUGAGAAGUCCUUCGGGUUGUAAAAAUCUUUUGUAUGGGAAGAUAAUGACAGUACCAUACGAAUAAGGACCGGCUAAUUACGUG
RNAcentral lists this ribosomal RNA (477 nucleotides) under uncultured bacterium. RNAcentral's name for it is "partial 16S ribosomal RNA". It matches the Rfam family "Bacterial small subunit ribosomal RNA", at positions 28 to 507 of the family's 1533-position model. The record is from RNAcentral.